RNAcentral lists this ribosomal RNA (31 nucleotides) under Clostridioides difficile. The record is from RNAcentral. Lineage: Bacteria; Bacillati; Bacillota; Clostridia; Peptostreptococcales; Peptostreptococcaceae.
ACACCUGUUCCCAUUCCGAACACAGAAGUUA